GUUCCCUGCCCUCCGGCGUGUCCACUUCUCCCCAUAGCUUUGUGUCAUCCGCAAACUUGGACAGAGUACAUUUGACUUCCUCAUCCAAGUCGCUGAUGAAGACAUUAAAGAGUAUCGGUCCAAGGACCGAGCCCUGCAGGACCCCACUGCCCACACCCUUCCAGGUCAAGACCGACCCAUCUACCACGACUCUCUGGGUGCAACCCUCUAGCCAAUUCGCCACCCACCGGACUGUGCAGUCAUCCACAUCACAGCCUCUUAACUUGUUCACCAGUAAUUGCAGCCAACAUGAGACAGUGACAGGGAACCUGGGCUUGGACAACCUAGAAAUAGCUGAUAAGUUGGUGGAUUUCCACUCGGCAGCAUCCACUUGCUCCCCGUCUCGCGCCUCGCUCCUCACGGGACGGCUUGGCACUCGCAAUGGCGUGACCCACAAUUUUGCUGUGACUUCAGUUGGUGGCCUCCCCCUGAACGAAACCACGUUGGCUGAGGUUCUGCAGGACGCCGGAUACCUCACUGCCGUGAUCGGCAAGUGGCACCUUGGGCACAAUGGCCUCUAUCAUCCCAACUUCCGCGGUUUCGACUAUUACUUCGGGAUCCCCUACAGUCACGACAUGGGCUGUACUGACACCCCAGGCUACAAUCUCCCUCCGUGUCCCGCCUGCCCUUGGCACUCUGCAUCGACAAGCAGCUCUGGGAAGGACUGCUACACCGAGGUGGCACUUCCUCUCUUUGAAAACAUCAGUAUUGUCCAACAGCCUGUCAACUUGACCAGCUUGGCUGCAGAGUAUGCAGAAAAAGCAACUCGGUUCAUUCGGUGUGCCAGACAGGUGCCGAGAUGGGAGAUUCUCCAUUGCCCUCUACUUGGAGCAAUUAUUUACCUCAGGAAAAGCGAACGCCCGUUCUUCCUGUACCUGGCUCUUGCUCAUAUGCACGUGCCCUUGGUAAUUGCUCAGCCACCAUCCUGCUCGUCAGUCAGGGAGGUAUACAGAGCCAGCUUGAGGGAGAUGGAUGCUUUCGUGGGACGGCUGAAAGAGGAGAUCGACAGCUCCCAGGAGGAAAACACACUUCUUUGGUUCACAGGAGAUAACGGUCCGUGGGCGCAGAAGUGCGAGCUUGCAGGGAGUGUCGGCCCAUUCAUCGGCACGUGGCAGCGACAGCGAGGUGGGAGCUCAGCAAAGCAAACCACUUGGGAAGGGGGACAUCGCGUUCCAGCACUGGCAUACUGGCCUGGCAAGAUCCCUGCAAAUGUGACAAGUGCUGCUCUGUUGAGCACGUUGGACAUUUUCCCCACCGUAGUGUCCCUGGCAAAUGCAGCCCUCCCUCCCCACAGACGCUUCGAUGGCCUGGAUGUGUCUGACGUCCUCUUUGGGCAAUCGCACAAUGGACACAAAACAUUGUUCCACCCCAACAGCGGAGCGGCUGGAAAGGACGGAGAGAUAAAAGCACUACGGCUGGCUCAGUACAAGGCUUUCUACACGACAGGGGGAGCAAAAGCUUGUGAUGGGAGCAUUGGGCUGGAGGAGCAUCAUGACCCACCACUCAUGUUUAAUCUGGAGCGCGACGCCCAGGAGCAGGAGCCUUUGGAUACGAAGUCCAGCGAGUACCAGGCUGUGUUUCCUGCAGUAAACAGGGCUUUCGCCGACAUUCUGCAGGAUAUUGCAACAGACAACGUGUCUACGGCCGAUUACUCCCGCAACCCGGCUGCGACGCCCUGCUGCAAUCCACAGCAUGUAGUCUGCCGAUGCCAACCUUGCCGCAACCCAGACCACAGCGGGACUACGCAGUCAACACACUCUCAGGCUUAAUCAGAGACUUCUAAUGCUCACAGGAGGGAACUCAUUCUCAUCGUCAAGGCACACGGGUCCUGUUGCAAACUCAUGCUCUGGGAUAACCUCUCCUCUCAGGGCACCCCCAUCUUCCGAGUAACCUGCAAAAACAGAGAGAAGCAAAACACUUGGGACAGAGGAAUCAAAGGAGGCUAGAAGUGGGCAGGCAGCGUUCACUGCGCUGGAGCACGGAGCUGGAUUCCCCAUCUGCUCGGCAGAACAGAAGUGGCAAUAGGGGAAAGCAUCUUAGCCAACAUUGUAAGCUAGGGAAUGGAUUAAUGUACUAGCUUUAGCAGCAUUAGCCUGCUGCUUCCCACUACAGAGGGCCUGGCUAAUUUGAUGCAGUUAUUUUAAUGGCUACUUAGCUUUAGCAGAAGAGCGAAGAAGGGCUGGAAGAACAGAAAGCGGCAGCGCUCCUUUCUAUGGGAUGCAAGAGGGAAAGCAGCUUACAAGAGAUCUGCAUGAAUAGAGGGGCAGGUAUUCCACUAUGCCAAUUAAUACUUUGAGGAAUGAUCACCCGCUUGCAGUUCCAAGCUGAAAUCCUAUUAAUGCUUCAUACUAUUUCACAUUACUCUUUUAAUUCCUUGGGUUAAUAUCCCCAUGACCAAGCGAUCGCCUUUAAAACGCUCUUGUGGCUCCUGGCAGCGAGCUGCUCCUGAGGGAUUUCUCUAACAAGAGACCGAUUCCUGCAGAAGUACCUUGGCAGGGCAUCUGUUUCUGAUCUGCACAAGCACAGGUGGGUCACACACGUUGCGCCCAAGUACAGGUUUGGGCACGGCUGACUUACUCCAAGUAGCUGAAACUCGAGGCUUCCUUUGUGCUUUUAAUUAUGGAUAUUUCCAGUCAUGCUAGGUAAAAUAUCCAGCAGGACUUCUGUCCCUGUGGUGUUGUAGCCACCCCGGAGCAAGCCCUAGUCUGCAUGCUAGACCUGCUGGAGUGUAAGCAAGCCCGAAGACUGAGGAGUAUCACGUGUUUGUUUGGAGCUUGCUACUGUACCAAAAGGCACAGUGGGUUCAGCAGGCUCUUGUGCUUGUGGCACAGGAGCAUGGAGAUCUGACGUUUCUUAUAGCCACAGUUUCAAUCAAGUCUUCUGACCUGCUGUCUAACACUGUAAUGCAAGCAAUGAUGCACUUAGUGCUGUUUCCAGUGGAGAUGUAGCAUGGUCGUGACCAUUAUUAAGCAUGCUUAGCACUGAUAGUGCUUCAUAUUGUCAAAGCAUUGUAUCAUUUGGAUUCCAGAUGGUUAAAUAAGCAUGAGCUAAUUGAUCCCCGGGGAACUCCAGUGAAGUAGGAAAACAAAGUGCUACUUUGCAGUAACCAGUUGUAAUUGGUUUGCUCAGGAAAGGCAAAAUUCAGUGGCCCGGACUCGUCAGAAAUGGAAGUAUUUUGCCCUUGAUGUGUAAAUUAUUUACUCCUUUCAGUGUGCUUGGGCAUGUAAAACAGAUCCCAGGCACUGCAUGUGAGGGCAAACCUUGAGAUCAACACCAGGGAGUAAAAGCUUGGAGCCAGGAGAGUCUGCUGCGGGGUGCGGUGGCUGUUAGCAAGAAGGAAAGGCAGAGACACCUGGACUUACAGCCCUGGGUCCUGCCCUAGGACUCCCUGCUACAAAGGAGCAGGGGGAAUAGGAGCACCACUAAGCCUUUAUGGAGUGCUUCCGUGAGUGGGAGCUCUUCAAAAUGCACUUCAGUGCUGCAAAGUGUUCAGCUAUUAUUAAUAUCUAACCUCACAACUCUCCUGAGCCAGAUUCAGCGUACGGAUCUGCAUUUUCAUUCAAGGCACAAGGGUUAAGUGACUUGCCCGGAGUAACGAAGGGUAUUGGAGACGAGGAUCUGAGGGAGGAUGUGCGGAUAUGCACUCUGAUCGUGAUGGCAUCCUCCUGCGCUAUUAGAAUCGGUCACGCUACCAUGGAGUAGGGGUGGGAGGAGGCCAGCACAGUGGAACGGGCUUUCAUUUGCAGCGAAGCUACAUCCUGCAAUCAGCUGGGUGCCAGAGGGUCCUGACAGACCCCUGGGAGGCAUAAGAACUACUUUGGUUUGAGCCCAUAGCAGAAAUCAGGACUAUGCCCUUGGUAACAAACCAGAACAAAACUCCUCGACCUGCUGCACAGCCUGCGCUUGUGGAAACUGCUGAUGCAGAUGCAAGGGAACCCCCUGCUCAGUAGCGGACGAAUUCACCGCGGGAGCCUGUCAGCACUCAGCCCCCAGCAGGCACACCCAGCUCGCUCUCACCUGGCAUGGACGAGGUCGAAGGCGUCGUACUCUGUCUGGCUACUGUUGCUGCGUAGGACUGAGGUUGACUGCUGCCAUCUAGUGACUUCGGACUGCUGUCAUCGAGCGGCUUGAGAUUGGUUUCUCACUGUCUUGUCCAAAGGGAAGCCAGAAAACAGCUCACGUGAGCUUGACAUCAUGCUGGAAUUAACUCUAGGCCGGCAUUCAUUCCCGUGCGGGGGACCAGCAUAGGACCCGUGCACUACUGAAGUCCCAUGCGAGCCCUGUUGUGAAUGUGUGGCUGCUGGUAUUCAGAUCUGACAUUAGCCCUCAUUUCUGCUCCAACUCCUGUAAGUAGAAGUAGUAUGAAUUACACUGGCUUGGACCUGGUGCAGUGGAGUAGGUCAUGCGGUCCACGACCCAUAAAGAAACUGGAGCAUACGGAAGUUACAUGAUGUGUUCAGAGUCAUGCAGCGCUAGGAGGGCUGUUUCCCACCCCCCUGAGACCACCUGCACUUUCUGGACACAUUAAAUAAGUUCCUGGCUUGGGCAGAUGCCAUAAUUCUCUCUUUGCACGAGCCAGUGACAGAUGAUCAGCUGUAACUGUUUCAUGCGUCUACUCCCAUCCAUCAGUAAGUUUUCCCUACAAUGAAACAGCUGCCAAAUUACCAUGGAUUAACUUCGCUUGCUCUGGGAUGGAACAGGUAUAUGAAACAGCUACAAAGAUCAGCUUGCAGCUCGGUAAAUGCUCCGCUUCUCUUUUUGAUUGAAAUGCUUGUUUUAUCUGCCCCAACCUAUGCUUGAGCAGCUAUACGUGGUAAAUGUACAAGUAAUUGUGCACUCUCAAAGCGCAGACCCACUCCUCAAAAGCCUGGGAAUUGGGCAAUGUCUGUUUAGCUCUUCAGUGAGAAAGAAUUAAUAUCAUAAGUUUUGUCAUGGGGAAACUGAGGUAUGAAUCUGUAACUUGCCCUGGGAAGCAGAGGGAGCUAGCGGUGGAUUAGGAUUGUGACAUGCAGGUCUGGAAGAUGGCUGGUUUAUGCCUGGUCUAACUCUGAAGACAUGGUGUAACACCCUUGCCUUGACCUUGACUCUUGAAAAACCACCAUCUAUCGAAGCAGUUCACGACAGCAUAUAAGGUGGCUCAGAUCACCGCUGCAGAGCAGAAUUCAGAUCAGCCUUUUUUCUGCAAUGCGCUGUCAUCUUUGUGAAGAACACUGUAAAAAACCUAGAAGACAAAUUGAUGUGCUGAUUGUGGAGAAAUCCCUGGUUUUUUUGGUGGCCUCCUUACUGGGAGUCUGCCCAGUCCCCACUCUGGUUGCAUGCUCUGGUUGCUGGAUCCCCUGGUCACCGAGGUGACUCCAUUGGGAGUGGGAACUUGGUCCUCCUCUUGUUCCAGCUUCCCACCCCAGUACCCGUGAAGUACUGGUCACUUCACCGGGGUUGCUGAUGUUUUUCAAACUAACUGGCCGGCAUCAGCCCUGUUCUGAGAAUACUGGUUUUGGUUGGAGCUUAACAAUGAAGUGAGAAAAGGGGUAAAAGGGGAUCGCUCCCUCUUGAGCAGGGAGACAUUUUUGGGAUGUUGAAACAAGCAAAAGACCUCCAAGAGCUCCAUCAGUCUCUGGAUGAAUGUGAGUAACUCCCCUGUAAUUUAGCCAGUAAUUUAGGAUUAAGUGAACUAGACGCGUAUCCAAAGGGCCAACAAGCCCAUUUUGUUUGGCUCAAGGUGUUUUUCUAAUACUCUUCUAUCUUGUACUCCUUCCCCAUUCCCCGUCUCUCGGAUGAGUACAAGUGAUCUGUUACAACACACCUAGCUAUGAACGCUUGAGAGGAGGGACAGGCCUUUACACUCCUAGUAGAGCUUGGUGAAGUAUGACCUGAAAACCUCCUGGGUGGCUCCAGGUUAUAAGGAGCACCCAGAAAUACUACCAGUGGGCAAAGCACCCCCAGGGUCAGCAGGGUCUGUGUACUCCAGGUAGCACAGAGCCCUAGCAGAGACCAAGGCCUGGGUGGUGGCAGCAAUUACCCCAGGCUCGUGGGUGUGCUCCAGAAAAGGGGUCGGCUGGAUGCGGGCACCCCAGAGGAGACACUCGAAGUGAGGUUUUGGUCGCGCAUAGCGAGGCGGGUGGGUCAGUGUACUUGUUGGCUACAAAUGUCCAACUCGGGAUCCUUAAAAUUCUGGUUUAUUAGGCGGAUUGAAGCACUGUAAUGAAGUUAAAUCAUAAACCUUGGGGCUGGUCCCUACACACACACACACAUGCACACACACAGUAGCAAGCUACAAGAGUCAGGUAUACCUAUCCCACAGGCGCUGGAGUCUGCUGUUGAGGCUUCUUUCAGCAUGGUGUUAUCAUCCAGAAGGGGGUUGCAGGUUGGUCCUUCUGGCUGGACAGGUCGGGUGCUGGUCAAGAUGGAGAUGAAGAGGGCGCCGCUGAGGGUCACUUUUCACUGCUUUUUAUCUGUCCUUGGCAGACUUUGGUGACUCCCCAGUUUUCAGGUUUGCCCAAUCCAGGGGUCAUUGACCCUCGUGGGACUUCCCCCCCCUCGGUGGCUACUGGAUGGCAUCUGUCAGUCCCAGGGGUCGUCAGCAUGUACGUGCAGGUUUGGGAGUCCGUUGAUGAAUUUUGAAUACGGUUCUGGGAGCGGUCGAUCUGGAGAUAUUCAGCCCAAAAGUUGGUCCCCGGCAUUGAUUAACUCAGGCCAGGGCUUCUAGCCCUUGAUCAGUGACAUUUAGAGAUUUCCCGGUUGUUACAUUGUCUUCUAUUGAAUUCUUCCGUUGGUUGAUCUGCAGUUUCCUUAGGUGUUAAUUGCUGCCUGCUACCGUGUUACACAUUCAAUCACUGAUUCACUCGCUCUUUCAGGGGCCCGCCUGAUACAGAGAAGGGCAGUUUGAUUCCUGCCCUUGUUAACAUUGUUACAAUGUAUAACUUACUUAUGAAACUAAACACAUUUAGUUGAAAGUUGAAAGGUGAGGAGUAUAAAAUAUAAGCUACAGAAGUAAUGCCAUGGCACACAAAUAGAUAAAAAUACCAAAAUACAAGGGGAGAUACAAAAUGCACGCAUACAAAUUUCAAAACACAAUUUCUUAUCCUAAAGUGAAAGAAAGAGGAAGGAAGAAAAGGUAGAAGAGGAAAAACAUAUCCAAGGAGGGGAGAGCAACUGCAGGCAAGAGGAAAAGGGGCUUUCUGCUACAUACUAGUACCUCCUGCUGGCUUGCCACACUGAUCGCAAAAGGAAAGCCCCAACUGGGCUUUCCAAAAACCAAGCCUAAAGUCUGUUUGAACCAGCAAAACAUCUUGAGGGGGAAACAUUAUAAAAGAAUCAAGUUCUGUUGAAGGGGUCGGCAGUGUUUUUGGCUGGAUUGCCAAAAACAUCCCAGCCCUGACCCACGCCUCGAUUUGGUAUGCUAGGGCGGACCGUGGGGGAGCUGUGAGGGGCCCAAUCCUCAUUGCUGGUGGUGGUGCACAUGCCUGCAGGUGGACUGUGGGGGUGGGGAGGUCUGGGGCACCGCAACCCUGGCCCUUUUUCCACCGUCUACCUGGAGGUGCGCGUCCAGCCGCCGCCAAACCUGGCCAAGGGCUCCAGAGCCUGGUGCAGCUGUUUGGAGCCUCCCGGGCUCUGGGCAGCUGCUGCCCAUGUGGGCUGCUUGUAGCAUCCCAGCCCCCUGCUACCAGCAGCCCAGGCUCCAUGGCCAGCAACAGCUGCCCAGAGUCGGGGCCAUGCUGUGGCACGUGUGCUGGGAGUUGCCAACCCCUGUUCCAUUGUGUACCAUCACUGACUUUAAUGAAGUUAUUCCAAAUACAAUUUUCUUCUGUGGUUUCAUUACAGCAAAUCAGGGAACUACCGGUCAGCAGCGAGGGGAUGAAACCCAGUUGGGUUUUAACCAGCAGAGGUCAGUAUAUAAAUGAUUAAACGUGGCAGACAAGGAUACCGGGGACCUGACAGCCAAUUACACAAGAGUCAAACAAAAGCAAAGUCCAACAGGUGCCCAGCGGGUCUGUAAAAUAUCAGCUGAGGAAAUUGCUGUAGGCUCAAACGCUGCUGAAAAAUGCACUGGAAAGUCCUGCGUGUCUUUUCUUUUCGAAGGGAACACACUCGUUUUUGCAUCGGCACUGAAACACUGCACAAAGGACAAAGAGGCUUUGUAAAACCAACAUUUGUUCUCAACGUUUCUUAAACGUCAGUGGAAACGCGUGCUUGGAGAAGUGCAGUACCAUGCUCUGGAACGGCACUGGGCUCAUGCGGCGCACCGCCAAGUGAAGCACUCUUCUCUUACAGAGCCACUGGGGAGGAGGGAGUGAACGCUCCAGUACAGCUUCAGGGGACGGGUUACAAAAUUCAGCAUGUACAUCUGUGGGUAGACUGCAGGGGUCUGAUUUAGCAAUUAACCCUGGAACAACACCUGUCGGGUUACUGACUGCUUGGGCAAAAUCUGUGUGUGCAAAUAGUAGAGCGAUUCUCAGCCACCUUAGGCUCAAGGCACCCAUCGCCGGACUCAAGGCACCCAUCCAUAAGUUGGGAAGUGAGCGGCACCCCACUUCAUAAACUAUUUAUUACAGUUCUCACUUGCUUGCAGAGGAGCAAGGCAGCAGCCAGCUAGGGCUGAGUCUGCACCGAGCCUGCCCCAGCACCCCGGUUGAGAAUCGCUGCCAUAGAGGCAUACCAUUGUUCACAUACCUCUCAGGUCGGUGGGUGUGAAUAUAUAUGCAUGUUUUCUGCACGUAAGUUAUAUUGAAUAUCAGGUCCUGUAUGUCUAACAAUGAAUGGCGAAAGCGGUGGGUGCAGUUCCACUGUUUCUUUGGGUAACACAAUUGAGAGACUUUUUAUAAUGCAUGCACCAUCUUGUCUUUAUGUCUGAUGGUUAGGCCGUGUGGUGUCUUUCAUGCAUCACUGCAGGUUCGGACAAUAUUCAUUUAAGAAAAACUGUCUAACUGUCUAUGUGGAAUACGCAAGUCCCACACUUUAUACGGCUGUAAAUCAGAAGUAACUCCAUGGAAGGUCACCCCAUACUUUUUACAGAUUCACUUCAUCCUAAUAAGUCACCCCAUACUUUAUAUGGCUGUAAAUCAGAAGUAACUCCAUAGAAGGAAGCGGGUUAGACUGGCGCACGGAAGUGGAGAAUUGGGUCCUAUGUUUCUUGUUAUCGAAGCAUGUGGCUUGAUGCCAGGAGUGAUCUGCCUUUUCUUGGCAUGUGUUGCUCCAAGUGACUCCUCUUCUUCAAAUGCUUCACUUUGGUGAUGGAAAAAGAGCCAAAGAAAAUUCUCCUGAAAAUCUCCUCCUGCCCUACUGACAGUAUGUAGAGCCUCUUGACAUGUUAAGCAGUACGUUACAUCUUUACUAGCUGCAUGCAGCUGACAAUUCAUCUCAAGAAGUCAGGGAUCAUGUACCAAGGGAGGGAAGAACCCGCACCUGCCAUCACUCUGGAGGGUAAAUCUCUUGGUGUCAUCAAGAGCUUUUGCUGCUUGGCUUCUGUGAUUAGCGGGAAUCUCGACCUUCAGGCUGAACUGACCGAAUCGGAAAAGCAGGCAAGAAUUUGGGGCUCUUACGGAAACGUGUGUGGAAUAACAACAAACUAUCAACUAAGGUGCAGAUGCACCUCUACGAGCCUUGCCCUCAUCCCUGCUUUAUGGUUUAGAAACAUGAACUACAUAUUGCAGGUGCAUCAGGAGACUGCACAGUUUCUAUGAAAGAUGCCUGAGCAAGAUCCUGAAAAUAAAGUGGGAAGAUAAAAUGCUAAACAGAGGUGGAGAGGUGCACUCAGGACUGACACGCUUGGAAACCACCAUCAAGAAGAAGAGGUUGCAACGGCUCGGCCAUGUCAGGAGAAUGGAAGGAGCCCGUAUCCCUAAGAAUAUUUGGUACGGCGAGAUUUGAGACGGCUGUAGAAAGUAGGGUCGCCCUCUAGGGUGGUACCAUGAUGUGCAAAGACCUUCAUCAUCUUGGAUCCUACACCAGCUAUUACCACUGAGAUGAAAGACCAUCAUCAUCUUGGAUGACAGGUGGUAAUAAGGGGCUGACUCCUAAAAUUUUCACUAGCCAAUGCCAGUCCUUCCUCCAGCAACACUGCUUCAUGGGGACAAUUUGUGUGUAACCUAAGUAUGAAUUCUGGGAUUUGGCCUGCUACCAAAAGACAGCACAAGGUAGAAAAAAUUGGUUUGUUUUCUGGCUGGAAAGUUUAUAGUCAGACAGAGGAGUGUUUCAGUGAAUAAAAGGAGGCUUCCUGUACAGGCCUGAGAAAAAAACCCAAUAGUAUUGGAAAAACAGAGAGAACAGAAGCACUUAGGCUUUGCUUUUGGCAGCAUUGGCAAUGGUUAUGGUGCUGCCGUGGCUGACCCAAAGCAGGUAUUGCCCAGUAGGAGACACACAGACUGCAUGGAUCCGUCCUCUGGGAUCUCCCUUUUCAAACAGGAGCUUGCUAAAUGGCAUCUUGGAACCCCACCCCAUUGGGCCUGGCUUGUCUUCAAUCUCUUUGACAGAAGCUGAAAAAACCCUAUUUUUAACAGCAAGUGGGCAUUACUAGGAUUGCUGCACAGCACAGAUCCAAAGCAAACAGAAGCUGAACAGGCACAUGAUGGGAAAUGACUUGGGAUGGAAACUAUGUGAAACCAGUGUGUGUUUCAAACUAUAUAGGACGUGAUUGCUUUGUAGGAGGUCUGCCUUGCGUUGAGGUUUGUACAACUCCAGGACUCCAGGUAAGUCGUGUGAGGAUGGAAAGAGGCAUUCUUCAUUGCUCUUGCACGAGGCUCUUGCAGGCUAGGAGGCAGGUGAUUCCUGAAUGAGGUAUCUUUCAGAUGUGCAAAAAUGUCUCAAUGGAUUGGUAACCUGGUACAUGUUUAAGGGGUUGACAGAAAGGACAUUGCACUGACCUGCGCUGGAAGUCGCUUGAUUCUGCAACCAGUAAGAUGUUAUUUGGAUGCCAAUCUCGACAAAGUAUAAUGGAUUUGACUGACUUCUUGACAUGCUUGCUUGGCCAUUUAUGGUUAGAGUCAAGCACAGAGGUAGAAGGACUCUGUGCAAUGCUGUGUUUGUGCAUGCUGCUUUGCAAUGAAGCUGUUUUAUGGCUAUUGCCAUAGGGAGCUCUUCCCAGACUGCUUGCAUUCCAGCUGCUAGGGAAGUCAGGACCUUUCCACAAAAGUAUUUACCAUCCACUGGAAAACAAACCCUGAUGCUGUAUUUUAUUUAUUCCAGGAAAAAAUAUGUGACUAGUGGCUGCAUGCUAUCUGGUGUCCUAUUAAAACUGGCUUGCGUCAAUGUGAUCUUGUAAGACCAGAGAAUCACAUUUCCAGAUGUUCAAGCAGCAUAGGCGCUGUUGGGGCAGCUCAGGGGUUGAAACAGAUUCGUGCAUUUUAGGUCAACAUGUUCUUAUAACAAAAACGAUAACGCCACAUGCAUGGAUCAUGGAGGGCAAAGUCCCGUUCAUUUGGUCCAUCUUCCUGCCUUUGUUCCCUGCAAUGUCUUUUCUUUUCCGGCGCCUUUCUAGUCUGUCCUGUCUACCUGCCAUCUUACGGCACUGUGUUAACCAGGGCUCGAACCUGCAGGUGGUUAUACUGCAUGUAUACUUAUUCUCACCCAGAAACAAUGAGAGGCAUUGCAGUCCUGCACAACCCUGCUCUGUAGGUCAGGAAAAUAUCAUCGGGAUUGUGCCUCUUACUAGCUGAUAUGCGAGCUAUCUUUUGGGAUCGCUCAACUUAAUGAGUGCAGCCAUAUCAGGGGCCUAGAAACAAUACUCAUCAUCUUAGGGCAGAGGGAGGGAAGAAGAUUGCAGGAAAAACACUAGGCAGGCUGCAUGUGAUUACUCCAGUUGGAGUUCAGCUAGUUUUGCAGUGACUUUUUCAUAGUGUCACUGCCCUUUUAGCUGCAUGAACAUUCGAGAGUUUGGUUAUGCAUCUCAUAGAGAACAUGGUGCCAAAGCCAGCACUGCGCUCCCUAGGGUUAUGUUGAAUUAAUAGCUUUGUAUUUGCUCAGAGCGGAAAAACAGCUAACGUUACUUCUCGCUGUAUGCCUUUGUCUGAAAUCUCCCAUCGCAGAAUGGUGCUGUCCCACUGCAGAUACACAGCAGGGCCUGGAGAGCUAUACGUGACUCCCUUGAUUGGGCUCCUAACCUAACGGGCUAAUAUUGACUGGGCCUUGCUUGUGGUUGCUCUGGCUUGGGCCAGUCAUUUUCUCUCCCAAAGAAGCAUACGGAAAUGAUUUUAGAUCUGUUACCCAAAGCAAGCUUGUUCUCCUGUGGGCACCAUUGCAUAUAACUGGCAACACGGUUGAUGCCAAGUAGGACCAAAGUUGGCUUUUAGCCCCGCUCUCUCAGAGACCCAACAGAAGCAUUUUGGUCCAUAGUGGAGGUCAAGACGUUGCUCGAGUUGGGAGCCCAGUUUAUGCCUGCAACAUCACAUGCCUGUUUAUAAUGUUGAUUCUUCACAUUGUAAUUUGAUUACUCAAAGAGUACCUCCUUUCCAUGACACGUCAAUGGACCAACCUAUGGAAAUGGAUGUGCAAAGGGUUGUCGUAAUACUUUGCCUUCCAUCAAAAGUCUUUGAGUGUUUUGUGACCGUUAAUUAAAGAAUCAUUCUGCAUCUCUCUUGAAGAUGAGUAAACUGAGGCAUGAGCCAAAUCGAUGCCAAUUCCUGUAAAUUAGGUCUUGUAACACAGUAUGCAAGAGACAUGGUUAUUUUCUGUUUUAAGAUGGGUGAAUUUGGCUUUUUCAAUACUUUUAAAUCAAUGGAAUUAAAUGAAAAAGUAUUGAAAGAUAAAACCAGAAAUCUACUUGUGACCCUGCCGCUGCGUAUUGUGAGCUCACGGCUUUUCUCGGUUAUCUGGUAGAUGUGGACUGGGUGGGUGUUAGACCUGAUAACAGUUUCUGCUAGGAAAAGAAACAGUUGUGUUAUUGGGGCCAUGUAUUGCUUGCACUGUCCACACACAUCUUCAUCCAGACAAAAUGAGGAGUGUUGCAUGCUGGGGCACGUUGGAUCCAUUGGCCAUGUUUCUUCCUUGAAGCUGAAGGUGGUUAAGGACCAGCAUGUAGAAAACUCUGUCAUCUUGGUCACCGCUGGUCAUGUAUUAGGGUCACUCCACUUCAUGGGCUCUUAUAACAAACACUCCUGCUGCUUGUAAGUACAAUCUUUAUUUCAUGCACUGUCGAACUAUAUCCAAUCCUACCUCCUCUUCAAAAUAUCUCUGAGGUCUGCCCUUUUCUCUUUCUUGAGCAUCCAGAGCAUGGAAAACCUCCUUUUCCAUGUCCUUAUCCCCUGGUCUUCCCGAACCCACAUCACUGUUCCACCUCCAUUCCUUGCAAAAUCCUGCAGCUUGAAGAAAUAAUGUUCCUGGCCUGCUGAUCUGGUGAUAUCUAGGCAGCGGACAUCUCUCUCGGCUUUAUAGAGAAGCACCUUAGUAAGUAAAGCAGCAAAAGCUGGAACUUAAGCAUUGUGGAAAUCUGGCUGCAUUCCUAGUAGUAGCUGUUUCCUGCCAUAAACACCUCCUGUUAAAGCCUGGCUGCCAUUCCACAUACACCAAGGAAAAGACCAGCUGCUACCAUCCUGCUUCCUAACCGUCUCAUAUGCCUUCAUGGAGUGACUCCUGUCCUUUCCUCACCAUCCUGACCCCGUUGGUUUUGUCCCCUUCGUUUUUAGUAAGUCAUAUCCAUAUUGAAAUGUCUGUUUUGGGGGGGCCAGAAAAAUACUCUUAGCUGUACCAAGAGAUCCCCCAGCUGCUGAGUUCUGUAAAAUAAUACUGGCUUUGGGAAGCAUUGAGUGUCCUGACUGCACGCAGCAUCUUAUAAGGCUCUCCUGAAAGGAUUAUGUUAACUAAUGAUAUUAUCAUCAUUUUUAUGCCACUGUACGUGUGCCAGCACUGGACAGUAACGGAGGGUGUGGAGAGAUCACUGGGAGGAAAGUGAAGCAGGAAGGGGGGUGAGGAAGCAGAGAGGAGAGGAGAAGUGCCAGGCCCUGGGGGAGUCUUGGGUGAACCAGGCACAGGUCACAGCAGAAAGGACAAAGCCAGCAGUAGGAAAUGGAGAUCAAAGGGUCAGGGAGAGGAGAGACCUGGUGGCACUGGGGUGCGGGAGGGACGAAGAGGCAGAAAAGGACACGAGCCGAGGUGAAAACAAAGGAGUUUGAUUUGACUGUGUUUAAAAACCCAACAAGAUGUUAAGGGAUUCAGAUGGGGAAUGGGUAGAGGAUUCCCAGCAGUGUAAGAAAAGGAUGUAUCCAGUACAUGUGAUGGAGCCAAGCACAAAACCCUUGGGCAUGAAGACUUCGAAGUCCAGACCCCAGAUUUUGGUAUCUUGGUGCUCAGUCUGCCCUCAUUACUAGGGGUGUUUGCCAGUGCUUUCCUCUGUGAGCUGGCCCUUUCCAAACGGAGGAGACAAGCAGCCCCAUUGCGAGGCGUGUCCCCUGCCCUGCCCAUUGCAGGAUGCGCUCUUUUCCUAGGCGCUACCUGUGUCUGCCUCGUGAGGAUCUGGCCCAUCUUCCCAGUCCCUUCCACUAAGCAGCAGGCGGGUGUUUGAGAGCCGUUUCAUAGGGCAGAGGGGAGGCGAGGGGAAGAUGAGAGCAUCAAAGGGGAAGUGUUAGCUAUGUUGAUGUGCAAUUAGAUCUGUGGCUGUUGGUCUUUCCUUCAUUUCAGUGUUGUGAGAGCAUGAGACAAACCCAGCUCCAGUACAGAACUAACUCCAGCCUCGGGGUAACCCGGCUGACGUCGGUGGAGUUGCCUGAGGGUUGAAUUUGGCUGCCCCUCCUGCCUGGCGGUGUCUGUUCAGCCGCAAAAGGCCAUUAGACUGCUAGGAAAUUCCAUCCCCGGAGCAAUAUCCCUCGGAAAAAAGACUAGAAUAAUUAGUGCUUGGAAAUCCACAGGUCUUUACUAGCAGCAUGUGCAGCACACGAUGAUUCAUGGCCCCUGGGAAUUGAUGUGCUGUCCUCCAGGCUGAGAUUCUGUCCUGGUAUUUCCCAAUGUGGGGAAAGCAGGAUCUGCAGCCCAGCUGAUACUCGAACUGAGGCCACGGUUGAGACAUCUGCACUAAUGCAGCGUGGGUCCUGUAAGGCUGCCCCGUGUCUCUGUCCAAAAGCCACGUCGUACAGCUGUGCUGUGGAUGCCCUGCCAGGAGGUGAAAUGGAGCUAGCUAAGCUAUUUGCCAGGGUCCGUGUUCAAUGUAAGCACGCUGCUCUGGCAAAGCUGCAGCAAAGAUGGUCCGGCAACACCUUCACAACACUAUUACCUCCCCGCAACUACGUGGCACUCGGUUGGUGUCUGCAGAGCUAUUGGGCUUGCGUCGGCAGGAAAUCUGGGCUGCUCUCCCAUCCUGCCCAGCUGCAGAAGCCCCAGGCAAAGGAUGGGUUAGGAAGCAGAUAGGAUAACAUCAUUUGAACCCCAAGCUAUAGGCUCAGGGCUAUAACCACCCAUGUAUCCAGGUGGUUCAUUAAUAAUGUUUAGUAUUUAGCAAUAAAGCUGAGGCACCGUGGGUUUGGGUUGUAGUGUGGGCUGGCCCUACGGGAGUAGGGACUGAAGAGAGGCUUACUGGGCCCCAACACAGCCACAUGUAUGAGUGUGCAUUUAGGAGUGCGGAAGAGAAGUGGUCACAGAAAAGCCUCUACUGACUUGUCAUUAAGAUGCAGCUGCACCAAGAACAUGCAACCAGGAGGAGCUCAGUUUCACUUUGGGAGGGCUCUGUUAAAAACCACACAGCUUCCCGUGCCUAGUACUGCACGUAGUGACAUAGCAUCUUCUACCGUCUACGUCCGCAGUGACGCGGAGCCGUUAGCACCAUUUCUGUAGAAUAAAGCCACUGUUUCCCUGAUCAGAGAAUGCGGCAGGACAAGUUUUACUUACAGGCUUGAUCUUUGUUCCAGGCAUAGCAGGAUAUGGGAUCUGUCCCAAAGCUAUGCAAGGAUGUGUCCUAACGCGCAGGGCUGGAAGGUGACAAAAGCCGGUGAAAUAGCACCAACAUGCCAUUUUAGAAACAACCAUUUGCAGCGCAGGGAAACUUGCAGGAGUUUUCAGUUAAAUGAGAAAACAAAAUGACCUGUGAGAGUCCACGGUGUGUGCAUAGUUGAUCCACCACUUGUAAUCUACUCCACGGUGUGUGCAUAGUUGAUCCACCGCUUGUAAUCUACUCCAUGGUGUUUGCAUAUUUGAUCCACUGCUUGUAACCUAUUUCAUGGUGUGUGCAUAGUUGAUCCACCACUUGUAAUCUACUCUGCGGUGUGCACAUAUUUGAUCCACUGCUUGUAACCUAUUUCAUGGUGUGUGCAUAGUUGAUCCACCACUUGUAAUCUACUCCAUGGUGUACACAUAUUUGAUCCACUGCUUGUAAUUUACUCCACGGUGUGUGCAUAUUUGAUCCACUGCUUGUAAUCUACUCCACGGUGUGUGCAUAGUUGAUCCACUGCUUGUAAUCUACUCCACGGUGUGUGCAUAUUUUAUCCACCGCUUGUAAUCUACUCCACGGUGUGUGCAUAUUUGAUCCACCGCUUGUAAUCUACUCCACGGUGUGCACAUAUUUGAUCCACUGCUUGUAAUCUACUCCACGAUGUGUGCAUAGUUGAUCCACCGCUUGUAAUCUACUCCACGGUGUGCAUAUCUGAUCCACCGCUUGUAAUCUACUCCACGGUGUGCAUAUCUGAUCCACCGCUUGUAACCUAUUUUAUGGUGUGUGCAUAUUUGAUCCACUGCUUGUAAUCUACUCCAUGGUGUGUGCAUAUUUGAUCCACCACUUGUAAUCUACUCCACAGUGUGUGCAUAUUUGAUCCACCGCUUGUAAUCUACUCCACAGUGUGUGCAUAUUUGAUCCACCACUUGUAAUCUACUCCACAGUGUGUGCAUAUUUGAUCCACCGCUUGUAAUCUACUCCACGGUGUGUGCAUAGUUGAUCCACUGCUUGUAAUCUACUCCAUGGUGUGUGCAUAAUUGAUCCACUGCUUGUAAUCUAUUCUAAUGGCACCAACCUUAAUGACACCUCUGAACUAAUGAACUUGAACUCUGAAGAUCAAACUUGA
Alligator mississippiensis (American alligator) is the source of this 17012-nucleotide RNA transcript. It is a transcript of the gene named arylsulfatase G, with no coding region annotated. The record is from RefSeq and is a predicted model, not a curated record. The transcript has 14 exons. Lineage: Eukaryota; Metazoa; Chordata; Crocodylia; Alligatoridae.